Non-coding RNA from Cicer arietinum (chickpea), 788 nucleotides. The record is from RefSeq and is a predicted model, not a curated record. Lineage: Eukaryota; Viridiplantae; Streptophyta; Magnoliopsida; Fabales; Fabaceae.
AUAAAAAUAGAACAAAAAAAAAAGUAAUUUUGUCUAUUAUAUUAAUGAAUGAUAGCUUCUCUUUCUCAUUCCAUAAAACCCGAGCUGGACGCUUUGCAUAUCAUCACAUCAGUUUCACAUCAGUUUCAGUAACAGUAUCAGUAUCGGAUUUAUCUCUUCCCUAUCUCUCAUACCAAUUUCACUUUCAGGAUUUUUAAUAUGGCAGAUACAAAACAAGGAUUGAGGAAGCCAGUGUUUACUAAGGUUGAUCAGCUUCGCCCUGGGACCAGCGGGCAUACCUUAAUUGCGAAGGUGGUUGAUUCGAAGAUGGUGAUGCAGCGUGGUCGUUCUGAUGGUCCUCAACCCCGUCAAAUGCGAAUUGCUGAAUGUUUGGUUGGUGAUGAGACUGGAAUGAUCAUAUUCACUGCAAGAAAUGAUCAGGGUAUAUUGUUAUUACUUAAACUCUAUACAAGUUUUCCUUACUGCAUCAUGGUGUUGCAUUGUCAUCAUCAUAUAUUUCGAUUUUUAUUGAAUUUUAUUUUUGGGGCUGGAGGAACUACAUUCUUUUAUUAUUCAGUAUGGGGUGUACACGUUGCACGUGUCAUGUGUUUUAUUUUGUCCGUUUUGUGCACAUGUUAAUUUAUGUUUUGGUGUCUGUUACUUCUUGUAUUUGUAUGCAUCAUGUGUUUAUUUGUUAAUUUUGUCGGCGUCUGUAAUGAUCAUAUUCACUGGAAUGUUUGGUUGGUGAUGAGACUGGAAUGAUCAUAUUCACUGCAAGAAAUGAUCAGGGUAUAUUGUUAUUACUUAAA